CCCUUAGAUGUUCUGGGCUGCACGCGUGCUACAAUGGCGCUUGCAACAAGUCUUGCCAACCCGAUAGGGUGAGCGGAUCUUUGAAGAGGCGUCGUGAUCGGGACAGUUGAUUGCAAUUAUUCGACUCGAACGAGGAAUUCCUUGUAAUCGCGAUUCAUCAUAUCGCGCUGAAGACGUCCCUGCCCUUUGUACACACCGCCCGUCGCUCCUACCGAUUGAGCGAUCCGGUGAAUGUUUUGGACUGGCGUCAGAAGCGGUUCGCUCCUGACACUACGAAAUUUUGUAAACCUUAUCGCUUAGAGGAAGGAAAAGUCGUAACA
RNAcentral lists this ribosomal RNA (320 nucleotides) under uncultured eukaryote. RNAcentral describes it as "partial 18S ribosomal RNA". It matches the Rfam family "Eukaryotic small subunit ribosomal RNA", at positions 1470 to 1796 of the family's 1831-position model. The record is from RNAcentral.